RNAcentral lists this ribosomal RNA (484 nucleotides) under uncultured bacterium. RNAcentral's name for it is "partial 16S ribosomal RNA". It matches the Rfam family "Bacterial small subunit ribosomal RNA", at positions 28 to 507 of the family's 1533-position model. The record is from RNAcentral.
AUUGAACGCUGGCGGCAUGCUUUACACAUGCAAGUCGAACGGCAGCGCGGGCUUCGGCCUGGCGGCGAGUGGCGAACGGGUGAGUAAUGCAUCGGAACGUGCCCAGUAGUGGGGGAUAGCCCGGCGAAAGCCGGAUUAAUAGCGCAUACGACCUGAGGGUGAAAGCGGGGGACCGAAAGGCCUCGCGCUAUUGGAGCGGCCGAUGUCGGAUUAGCUAGUUGGUGGGGUAAAGGCUUACCAAGGCGACGAUCCGUAGCUGGUCUGAGAGGACGACCAGCCACACUGGGACUGAGACACGGCCCAGACUCCUACGGGAGGCAGCAGUGGGGAAUUUUGGACAAUGGGGGCAACCCUGAUCCAGCCAUGCCGCGUGCGGGAAGAAGGCCUUCGGGUUGUAAACCGCUUUUGUUCGGGAAGAAAUCCUCUGGGCUAAUACCCCGGGGGGAUGACGGUACCGGAAGAAUAAGCACCGGCUAACUACGUG